RNAcentral lists this unclassified non-coding RNA (243 nucleotides) under uncultured fungus. RNAcentral's name for it is "sequence contains ITS2". The stretch from base 1 to 52 matches the Rfam family "5.8S ribosomal RNA", at positions 103 to 154 of the family's 154-position model. The record is from RNAcentral. Lineage: Eukaryota; Fungi.
AACGCACAUUGCGCCCCUUGGUAUUCCGAGGGGCAUGCCUGUUCGAGCGUCAUUACAACCCUCAAGCACUGCUUGGUAUUGGGCUCCGCUGGUUUCAGCGGGCCUUAAAGUCAGUGGCAGCGCCGUCUGAGCUCUGAGCGUAGUAAAUCUCCUCGCUAUAGAGACCAGGUGGUCCCUCGCCAUCAACCCCCCCAACUUCCUAAGUUUGACCUCGGAUCAGGUAGGGAUACCCGCUGAACUUAA